GAUCCUGGCUCAGGAUGAACGCUAGCUACAGGCUUAACACAUGCAAGUCGAGGGGCAGCAUUUCAGUUUGCUUGCAAACUGGAGAUGGCGACCGGCGCACGGGUGAGUAACGCGUAUCCAACCUGCCCAUCACUUGGGAAUAACCUUGCGAAAGUAAGACUAAUGCCCAAUGAUAUCCCACGAAGGCAUCCGAAUGGGAUUAAAGAUUUAUCGGUGAUGGAUGGGGAUGCGU
This 232-nucleotide ribosomal RNA is filed under the name uncultured bacterium. Its description in RNAcentral is "partial 16S ribosomal RNA". It matches the Rfam family "Bacterial small subunit ribosomal RNA", at positions 15 to 236 of the family's 1533-position model. The record is from RNAcentral.